UGCCUCCAGGGCUGCACAGCCCAGCCCAAGGGCUGACCCUUGGGGCAGCGAGCUCACACGGGAGCCUGCUGGCCCCAGCCCUCCUGCAGAUGUCAGCUCCGAUUAUUUCUGCUGGCCAAUCCCUUCCUGGUGCCCUGGGGAUGCUGUGGAGCGCCAGGAACCCCUGACAGCCGGGGCCUGGCACUGCCAGCCCUGCUCCAGAGGCUCUGGGCCAUGCUCAGGGGCUCCACUCCUGCUUUUCCCUGGAAACCCCCUCCAGGUGAGGUGGGUGCCGGUUCCAAACCCGUGGCUGGGUUGGGAAUGCUGGAGUGCUUCACCCUCUGCAGAACCUGCUGGGACAGAGUCCUGCCAGCCCAGCGCUCGUUUCCCAGGGAACCAUGGAGCUGUUCACGCUGGAAAAGGCCUCCAAGAUCAAGUCCAGCUGUUGAUCAUGGAUCCAGCUGUUUGGCAGCUGAGGCCAUCCUGGAGAAGAUGCUCCUGCUGCUCCCAGAGCCAGCCCAGCAGGAUGAGGUGCCCCAGGUCCCUCCCAGGGUGAGGCUGUGCUGCUUCCCUGGCUCCUCACCCUGCAGGUGUGGGGUGCACACCUGGCACAAACACUCCCAGCAGAGAGGGCACACCCCUGGAAACCCGCACUGCUUCGCAGGGAAGUCUGUACCCAAAAGGUUUUUCAGCUCCUUGGCCUGGAAGCUAAGUCCUCCCUUCCAUUCCUUCUGGAAAAUGCAGAAAUUCCAGCAGCUCCAGGCUGGUGGGAUCAGGAACUCCUAAAUGGAGAAGAUACAUGGGAACACAGAACUUGGGGUAAUGGGAUGACAAUGAAAAAUAAAUGAACAGCUGAAGAAAAGCAGUUGCAUGUGAAAGAGAGCGCUCCUUCUCCCAGAUCUACGUUCGGGCUGAGAUCCUGGAAACAACCAAAGCCUCACCAAAUCCAGCAGCCCCAGUGCCACCCCAGCACGGCCACC
This is a long non-coding RNA of Hirundo rustica (Barn swallow), 959 nucleotides long. RefSeq lists it as uncharacterized. The record is from RefSeq and is a predicted model, not a curated record. The transcript has 4 exons. NCBI's taxonomy places the organism in Eukaryota, Metazoa, Chordata, Aves, Passeriformes, Hirundinidae.